UAAGUGAAGAGUUUGAUCCUGGCUCAGAGUGAACGCUGGCGGUAGGCCUAACACAUGCAAGUCGAACGGCAGCACAGUAAGAGCUUGCUCUUAUGGGUGGCGAGUGGCGGACGGGUGAGGAAUACAUMGGAAUCUGCCUGGUAGUGGGGGACAACGUUUCGAAAGGAACGCUAAUACCGCAUACGUCCUACGGGAGAAAGCAGGGGACCUUCGGGCCUUGCGCUAUCAGAUGAGCCUAGGUCGGAUUAGCUAGUUGGUGAGGUAAUGGCUCACCAAGGCGACGAUCCGUAACUGGUCUGAGAGGAUGAUCAGUCACACUGGAACUGAGACACGGUCCAGACUCCUACGGGAGGCAGCAGUGGGGAAUA
RNAcentral lists this ribosomal RNA (368 nucleotides) under Pseudomonas sp. SST3. RNAcentral describes it as "bacterial SSU rRNA". Lineage: Bacteria; Pseudomonadati; Pseudomonadota; Gammaproteobacteria; Pseudomonadales; Pseudomonadaceae. The record is from RNAcentral.